AAGACUGGGGUGGGGGGGCUCUUCCGGCCCCUGCCUCAGUUUCCCCGCGCGCUCCCCCGCGCGCUCCCGCCAGCCCCGCCCCGCCCCGCCCCGGCCCUGCCUCAGUUUCCCCCGCCAGCCUCCAGCCCGGCCGCAGUUUCCCUUGUGCCUGGAGACGCCCCGGGCGCCUGCCCGCGCCCCGGUGCGGAGGGCCGUGCCGCCCGGGGCUGGGGGACGCGCCGGGGUCGGGGCGAGGGGGCCCCGGUGCUGCCGGCUCUCGGGGGCUCAGUGUCCCGCAGCGCCGGGCUCCGGGGAGGGUUUCGGGGUCCCCCCACCCCAGCUCUGGCGGUGUACUGGGGUCCCCGGUGCUGCCAGCUCUGGGCGGUAUCGGCCCCCCUGCACACGGCACCGUGGGGGUCUCGGGGUCCCUAAUACUGCCCGUCCUGGGGGGUCUCGGGGUCCCCAGCACGCAGCUCGGGGGGCUCGGUGCUGCCAGCUCUGGGGGGGGUCUCGGGGUCCCCCUGCUCCUGGGUCUUGGGGCGUGGUCUCACUGGGAAACGUGCCCUUCCCACAGCCAGGACCGGCCCCCAGGGGCCCUGCAGCGACUGUGGGCGCUUUGCAGACGCCAAGGGGAGGGGUGCCGGGGAAAAGGGUGCUCAGGCUUAAAGCACCGGUGCGUGGUCAGGAAGGACGCACAGAUGAGAUUCUCUGAGAGCUAUUCCCUAGCGAUUUGGAGGCGCACACCCAGAACUGGCGAGAAGACUCUUACCACAGAGCUACGAAGAAGCUCGAAACGGGCCGAAGUCAUUGUCCCAGAGAGCGGCUCGCUGGGACCCCCUGGGCCCCGGGACGAAGGCGGGGAGAGAAGAUGAGACCCCGUUAGGUGGCGCCCUAAAGAAAUCACCUGUUACAGAUGUGAGCGAGGGGGACGCGGUGCCCGAGACUGCGGGCUUACUCGUAAUGAAGGUGGAAAGAGAAUAGCUCCCCCCAAGCCCCCAGGGAAAGGCCCAAGGAACCUGAAGCGGUGGAGGCCAUGGACAAGUUAUGGGGGAAGUGAAAAGCCUGUGGCUUGAGCGCGACCCAUAAUGGCUGCAAGCCUGUGUGUGUGCGUGCAUGCAUCUGUGUUCAUGGCAUGAACGACUCGUGCCAUGGCUGGGGGGCACAGCAGUAGCAGGAGAGGCAGGAGUGCAGUGGCUGUCAGUGGUGGGAGGGGGUGGAGUGGUGGCAAGCGCCAACCAAGCAUUGGCAACCAAGCACAGCCGCUGCUGGCAGUGUCGGCAGUGCCUUUUUGUAGGGGGUGCACCACCAUAGUUAGGGGGUGCACAUGCACCCAUGUGAACCCCCUACACGUUGACCCUGGUUCGUGGCAGGGAAAGUGUGUUUGUGUGUCCAUGUGCAGAGAGUGAGUGUCUGUGUGUGCAUGUGUCUGCGUGCGUGUGUGUGUGUAUGUGUCUGUUCGUGGCAGGAGGGAGAGUGUGUUUGCCUGUGUGUCCAUGUGCAGAGUGAGUAGAGCUCAUGCCCAUCUGCGUGCAUGCAUGUGUCUGUGUGUACAUGCGUGUGUGUUUCUGCGUACAUGUGUCUGUGUUCAUGGCAGGAGGGAGAGUGCGUUUGUCUCCGUGUGUCCAUGUGCAGAGAGUGAGUGAGCAGAGUGUACGCCCGUCUGCAUGUGUGCGUGUGUGUGUGUGCAUAUGCACGUGUCUGUGUGUGUGUCUGUGUAUGCAUCUGUGCGUGUGUGUGUGUGCGCGCAUGUGUCUGUGUGCAUGCAUGUGUCUGUUCAUGGGAGGGAGAGAGUUUGUGCAUGUCUGUGUGCAUGUGUCUGUGCGUGCGUGUCUGUGCAUGGCUGUGCAUGUGUGCAUCUGUGCGUGCAUGUGUCUGUUCAUGCCAGGGACAGUAUGUUUGUCUCUGUGUGUCUAGGUGCAGAGAGUGAGUGAGAGUAGAGUGUGCACCCAUCUGUGCGUACGCCUGUGUGUGUGAUUGGCCAUAGUGGGGGAGGAGGAUAGGUAGCAGGGAGAAGAGGGGGCCAUGUGCCUCUGCACCCCCAGCCCGGCAGGGUCCCUCCAGCCUCCUCCACCAGCACCGGGAUGGGAAGAGCCCCUUCCCCCACCCCUGUAGUCCAGGUCCCGUUGGGGAGGGGGCCUUCAAUUUGGUGUUUGCCCAGCGCCCCAGUACACAUUAAUUUGCCUCUGCGGGGAGCAGAGCAGGGCUGGACCCAGAGUGGUGGGGUUGCAGGGGCGCGUGGCCAGACACAGGGCUCCAUCCCCACCUGCCCGGCCCCAUCAUUCCUGACAGGCACUUUGCCUGCAUCUUAGUCAUAAUCGAUUAAGCCACCUGGUACCCUGAGGCAAUCCCUUUGUGGGCAGCGACGGGGACACAUGUUACGGAGGAGUUACUGAAGUGGAUAUCGAGGGUAGGACUUCCAAGGGAUGUUGUAACCAAUCAGGGCACUAACUUCAUGGCUAAGGUAUCACAGAACGCCUGUUGGGUCCUAGGGAUCCGAUGGUUGCCAACAUGAGGCUACCACCCCUGGACAAAAGGUCUGGUAGAGAGGUUAAAUGGGACACUAAAAGGGAUGCUCAGUAAGUGCACUCAGAAGGACUCAUGAAAGUGGGACUUGUUGAUCACCCAGUUAUUGUUUGUCCUGAGGGCCACCCCACGGGCAUCCACGAAGUAGUCUCCCUUGGAUCUGGUUUAUGGACGCAGGCGCAGGGGGCUAUUAGCAGUUCUUAAGGAACCCACAUUGAGCCCAACAGGAGCUGAGGCUCAUUGUGAAGCUCUGAGGGCCUGUUUGCUGCCCAUGAGGCAGGUGGCCCUGGAAAAUUUGAGGGAGAUCCAACAGAAACCAAAGAGGCAUCAUGACAGAACGGCUGAGGAGAGAGCUGCCAGUCAACAACAGGGUGUCAGUCCUAUUACCCACCAUGGCCGGUAACCUGCUGACAAAGUGGCAAGGCCCUUGGAAAUAAGAAGGCACGCCGGGCUGGUGGAUGACGAGCUAUUCCGAACGGGCAUCAAUGGGAGCAACAGAUUUUCCAUGUAAACUUGUUAAAAGCUGGAAGAAGGCCGAGCGGUGGUUGGCUGAGGCUGAACUAGAAAGUGCAGAACUUGGCCCUGCAAUAAGCGGGGACGUUAGGGAGACACCCGGGGAGGAAAGAGUACAAAUUGAAGAGCGCCUGGCAGCUAGUCAGGGAGGAGACUUGGUUCGGGUUAUUUGCGCCUUCCGCGAUGUCUUUCGAGAGGAACGUGGGUGGGUCGCACACCCUGCCUAGAAGAGUGGUGUGAGAGUGAUGGCGCCCUGACCCCGACCGUUUAUAUGGCCCCAUGAAGCAGGAGCUCUGAAAGAUGCUUGGACGAGGGGUAACAGUCCCCUCACGGGGUCUGUGGCAAAGCCUGAUGGGACCUUACGUCUCAGUGUAGAUUUCAAAUGCUGGAGCAGCUUUCGAUGCCUUCCCCAUGCCCCAGCUUUUAGAAAGAAUAGGACAGGCCUGCUACAUAACGAUGCUUGACCUGUCUCAAGAGUACUGGCAAAUACCCAUGGCCACAAAAGACGAUGCCAAAGCUGCUUUUGGGACCCCAUGGGGCCUAUAUGAAUUUUGUAGAAUGCCCUUCAGCCUGCACGGGGCGGCAGCCCCCUUCCAAAGACUGAUGAACCGAGCUUUGGCCUUACAUGGUGCCCCACACACCGGACGCUGCCAACAGGCGCUGUGCGUGAGUGCAGGGACAGCGAGAGCCCGAGCCGCCAUCUAGCUGAGAUCUCUCCUGGGGAGACGUGGCUGCUGCGCUGGAGCCCGUGGCAGUAGAUCUGCAGGGAGGAGCUGAGGGUGCAGAAGUCCCUCGUGUCGUGCAGAGCGGGACGGGGGGCAGGAGUCCCUACAGCGGUCGGCAUCACAGCCAGUAAAACAGCAGCUGCAGACAGAGCCAGUCCAGCACCAGGAGCUUUGGGGGCAGGACACAAUGCAGGCCAUGGAGCCCCCUUGUGAGACCGAGCUGCCCUCUGCGACCCCACAGCUGGCACUGUGGGAUGAGCUCCCCACCCCAGAGGCCUGGCACCAGCUCUUCCGUGGCCUCCGCUACCGGGAAGCCGAGGGCCUAAGGAAGAUUUGUCGCCGCCUGUGGGAGCUCUGCCAGCGCUGGCUGGAGCCCCAGCACUGCAGCAAGGAGCAGAUCCUGGAGCUGGUGGUGCUGGAGCAAGUCCUGGCCAUCCUGCCCCAAGACAUGCAGAGCUGGGGGUGCGGGUGCCAAGUGGAGGCCUCUGCCAAGGCUGUUAACCUGGCCAAGGGGUUUCAGCUGGGGCAGGCAGAAGAUGAGAAGCUCCAGGUGAGUGUUUGUUUGCUGCCAUCUGCACCUCCACGUGUCUGGGGGAUGUUCCCUCCAGGAUCAAGGCUCCCCAGUGACACAUUUGUCUUGUCCCUAGGUCACAGUGCAUGCAGCACCCAAAGGUCCAUCGUGGGGACAGGCCUCUGGUGGAGGCAGGAGAGCAGGAAACCCCAGGGCCCGAGGACAAGCUGCCUCAUGUCCUCCAUGAUGAGCUGCCAACACACCAAGAGUCAGGUCCUUACCAGCCUUUUCGAUAUAUAUGGUUAACAAGGGCUCGACACCCAAAGAGCAUCAGUAACCCCCAACCCCCUCUUAUAACUGUUGGCUACUGGGUAUAGGUCAGCUCCCCAAAGAAAGAUAACUUUCUGUUAACUGUUUUGUGUGUGUAAGCUAUAAUAUAUUUGCCUUUAUUUCACUCCCAACUUUACCUCCGCUAUCCAAAACUGAAUCAAACAGCCCAGUUGGCCUGUGAAAAAAUUGAUACACUCACAGUGCCCAUCAGGCUUGUGACACUGUUUUAGGGCAAUGUCUGGUACAGGGAAUGAGCCCAUGGGGAUUUCCUCUGCUGAUGAGUCCCAGGGAGCCUCCACAUCACAGGAAUCUGCACUGGGACAAAGGCCUUGGUAUGAACCUUCAAUGGACUUUGGGCUGAGUCUCAGGCUUUGUGACACUCUGGGCCUAAGAGUGGGAAUAGAUUUGGGGAAAUUCUGCUGCAAAUGAUGGGGUAUUCCCUUCCCAUCACAACAGAAAACUUCUGAAUCCAACUAACUCCAUGGAGCCACUUCAUGCAGCCUAAGACCAGGAUUACACACGUCCUGUGCUCCAGGUCGACCCAACCAGGAGAUGUCAGGGACAACCCCAGCCUCUCUCACCCAAGAGCCAUGGCUACACAGAGCUUCUUCUGCACACCAUGUGGAUUUCCAUGGGGGACUACAAAUCCCAUCUUGCCCUGAGAGAGGGUGUUAGAGAGGUAUGGCUACUUGGGCUGGGGAAUCAACUCCUACAAUGGGGAGUAAAGAGAGAAAUUUAAAAUCAUGGUGUCCCAAGGAAACCAGAUCUGAGCCUAAAAAGGAAGACAGCAAGCUCUAUUGUCCCCUAACAGCUGUAGUCAGGGGGAGAACAAUGGGACAGGUGCUUGUCUCCACAGCUCUGAAUUUCAAAGAGUGAAACACCUGCCUGGACACAUGACAGCAUAAGCUAUUUGAGGUUAGCACUCAGGGAUGGCAGCACGGGGCAGGUCUGCAGUUUUCAGGCCCCCUUUCACCCUGGGCAUGGAGCAUUUGUGAGAGGGGAGUCAGGUGGAUGGGACAGCCACAAAUCACCUGGCAGCAGGUCCUCUGACCUCGAGAUUUCCCCUUGGUCCUCAUCAUCAGAGACCCAGAGAUGCACCUGUCCUCACUGAUUAAGUCAGGUGUGGGACCUCAAUAUCCUGUUUGGGGCCGUAGUUAAAGCGUGUUUCUGACUGGGUACUGGACGCAGAAUAACCAACUGGGAUUUGGGGAAGGGAUCCAAUGAAUUCAAGGUUUCUACUCAGGACUUGAUGGCCAGUGAAGGGUGGGGACUGAAGGAUGAAAGAGAAGGCAAAGCAGGGAGAAGCCUUCAGGAGAUGAUGGUCCUUGUCAUGCAGGGAGUGGAUGUACGGUCAUAGGAAUCUUUCAAUCUGUUGUAGGCCAACUGGGCACUGCGAGGGUAUUAGCCACACUGGGCUGUUCAAAACAACAAAUAGACAGACAUGGGUUGGCAACUUAUCGAUAGUCCCUCGAUGCCACGUGUGCGCCAAGUGAUUCCAGUGAAGUCAGGCGUCCCUGAUGAUCGAUGCUGUCAGAGGGAUUACCGGGGAAGAUCCCUUGAUCAGGAACAGGGACCCGAUCCUCACUCACACGGGGAGUCUGGGGUCCGGGCGUGGACCAGAAACAACCAUUCUAUUCCCUCCUUCCUGCUGGUUACCUGAUGCACGUGCUUUUUAUACCUAGUCUUAUGUUAAUCUGUUGGCCUCAGGGCCACUCAUAAUGUUGCCCUAUAGCUGUUACCCUAUGGGAUUGAAAGGUGAUGAAACUAUCAUAAAAGGUGACUACUCAGACUCAGGUUUAUCCAAUAAGCAAAUUAUGAUGCAGCACCUUAAGGUUUGAAAUUGUCAUCGCUCUGCCUAAAUCCCAACCCCUUUUAGGCUUCAUUUGAAUAUGCUUUUUUGGGAUAUGCUUUCCUAGAAUAUGUUGGGUGUGCCAAGCAGUUAGAUCUAGUUUUUAUCGCUAAGGCUGAACCCUGAGCAAAAAACCGUUAGGCCAGCUAAUCUCCCAGCUACAGCUUUGCCUCUGGGGACCAGUCAGUCCCAUGAACAGUGAAUUUAUCAUUUUGAUUAAACUUAUGACAGACAAGUUACAUUUGCAGUUUACAAACUUAAAAGCUUAUAUUAACUAAUAUUACCUGUUUAAGCAAAAUACCAAAUGCCUCCAAGAAGCACAUAGUAUUGCUUAAUAAUCCCUCUGGUUCUGGCUGUUACAAAACAGGUAGGAAGCACCCUGCUGCUCCUUCCAGAAGGGAGACCACAGCUCUGAAUCCUCCGCUUCCAGAACAUUUCUUGGAGGGAUGAGGAAUGAAACCUGGGCUUUUCUUAUCAAGCAGAAGUAGUAUUUUCUGUACAACAGAAGUAGCUGGUGCAGUGUAAGGCAGUGCUCCCUGCACACUCCUGACGGCUGACAACCCUGGGUUGGGCUGGGCUGGGCUGUUCCCGGUGGGUGUUUGGUGCAGAGCUGCAGUGCGGCUGGGCAGGGGCUGCACUUGGUGCAGGUGGUGGAGCUAAAGAAGGGGCUGCAGCCACCCCAAAAUUUGCCGUAACCCCCCUCCCAACACUUCUGCUGCCUGCCCUGAUUGCAGCCUUGGCCAAAACACCCACCAGCAAGAGCACAGCUCUGGCCCCAGCCUGCAGCAGCAGUCCACCCUUGCCCUGCGCACAGAUCCAGGUGGCAUGUGCCCCCCAUGCCUUUCCCGGGGUUGUGCACUGUGGCAGGAGACAGCCAUCCCAUGACUCCUGAACCAGCUGCUUGGGGCUCUGGCCCCAUCUGGGCAACAUCUGCCCCAGCCCCACUCCCUCCCUCAACACAGGGACCUCAAUAUGCCCCUCCCACCCCAUUCCCCCCAGACACUUACCAGCUAGACGUUGCUCUCCAAGCUUCCAGGUGUCAUAUUGAAUGUAAUAGUCUGAAUACCUGUAAUAGUUUCCCACUAGCCAGUUUAGGAAAAAGACAAGAUUCAUCUUCUGAUCUAGGCCAUUGUUUUGGCCUAUGUGUGGAAGGUCCUAGCUUUGCUCAAAGUCUUAACUCUUGAAUUUUAUCUUUAGAGGCCUUUAACAAAGUGAACAUAAAAAUGACCCUUAAGCAAACAUCCCACAUUCCGAGAGAUCAAACCCUAGGAGCCUUUUAAAAAUUGGAAAGAAAGGAAAUUCCUCAAAGUAAUUAAAAUGGUCAACAAAAGAAACUAAUUACCAAGCAAAAGAAUCUGUUAAGAAAGAUCUGAGCCCAAAUUUGGGAGUAGUGACAGGUUUGGGUAGGACUGGCCCAAGACGGCAACUCACUCGAUACAAACUGUAACCUACUGUCCCAAUUUGGAGGUAACCUCACUUGCAGAACAACGAAGGAAGAAUUGCAAGUGUAGGCCAGAUCAGACUGAUCACCUGAACCACCCUCUCUGUGAACACAAAUCUCUUAGUUCACGCUGAAGCCGCAGAGCGCCCGAGUGGGACUGAAGGAAGGGGACUUGUUCCUAUCACUGCUGAGGCCAGCCCAUUGAACUGUACUACUGAGGCUAGCCUAUUGAACCGUACUACUGAGGCCAACCCAUUAAGUUGUACUACUGAGGAAUGAAACUAUAUUUAGGUGUUUGGCUUCUUGGAAUUCUAGGACUGUAAGUAUAAUAUAGUAAUAACUUUUCUAGUUAAAAUUAUAUAGUUAGUUGUAAUUGUAAUUGUUUUAAAGAAGUCCAUUUGAAGCAUUGUUUCUGAUAUAUGUAGUUAUUGUGUUCUUAAUGUUUGUGGUAUUUCUUAAAGCUAAGUAGUGUUAUAUGCGUAGCAAAGAAUUUUAAAAUAAAAUUGUGGUGUAUGAA
Long non-coding RNA from Alligator mississippiensis (American alligator), 8388 nucleotides. RefSeq lists it as uncharacterized. Lineage: Eukaryota; Metazoa; Chordata; Crocodylia; Alligatoridae. The record is from RefSeq and is a predicted model, not a curated record. The transcript is spliced from 2 exons.